This 195-nucleotide unclassified non-coding RNA is filed under the name plant metagenome. RNAcentral describes it as "partial contains small subunit ribosomal RNA, internal transcribed spacer 1, and 5.8S ribosomal RNA". The record is from RNAcentral.
UCUCCGUUGGUGAACCAGCGGAGGGAUCAUUACUGAGUUUACAACUCCCAAACCCCUGUGAACAUACCAUUUGUUGCCUCGGCGGUGCCUGCUUCGGCAGCCCGCCAGAGGACCCAAACCCUUGAUUUUAUACAGUAUCUUCUGAGUAAAUGAUUAAAUAAAUCAAAACUUUCAACAACGGAUCUCUUGGUUCUG